AGUGAACGCUGGCGGUAGGCCUAACACAUGCAAGCCGAACGGCAGCACAGUAAGAGCUUGCUCUUACGGGUGGCGAGUGGCGGACGGGUGAGGAAUACAUCGGAAUCUACUUUUUCGUGGGGGAUAACGUAGGGAAACUUACGCUAAUACCGCAUACGACCUACGGGUGAAAGCAGGGGAUCUUCGGACCUUGCGCGAUUGAAUGAGCCGAUGUCGGAUUAGCUAGUUGGCGGGGUAAAGGCCCACCAAGGCGACGAUCCGUAGCUGGUCUGAGAGGGUGAUCAGCCACACUGGAACUGAGACACGGUCCAGACUCCUACGGGAGGCAGCAGUGGGGAAUAUUGGACAAUGGGCGCAAGCCUGAUCCAGCCAUACCGCGUGGGUGAAGAAGGCCUUCGGGUUGUAAAGCCCUUUUGUUGGGAAAGAAAAGCAGCAGGUUAAUACCCCGCUGUUCUGACGGUACCCAAAGAAUAAGCACCGGCUAACUUCGUG
This 492-nucleotide ribosomal RNA is filed under the name uncultured bacterium. Its description in RNAcentral is "partial 16S ribosomal RNA". It matches the Rfam family "Bacterial small subunit ribosomal RNA", at positions 29 to 507 of the family's 1533-position model. The record is from RNAcentral.